GUUAUUGAGUCAGUUCGUGAUGAAGACGACAAGAUCAAACCAUCAGACUAAACUUAGUGAUCCAGUACAGUCUCGGUACCAAAUUUUAAGUUGUCUAGAUUAAGAAGAAGAGCUGCCUAUUAAAGACAUCGGGGAUAAAGCAGUUUUGGUUUUGGCUGCGGGGCUGGGCAAAAUCUUACUGCCUAAUUUAUGUAUCUUGAGUUUUUUAAAGGGUGAAAGAGUGUCCCUUAGAGGUCUUGCCUGCAAAGAGGUGCUUCUCUCUCCCUCCCCUCCCAUUAGGAUGCCCUGCAUUGCCUACACGAGACUACACACAGGAGGAAGAAAUGGGAAGCAGUGAGCUGGAGAAAUAUGAACUAGCAAGGGAAAAACAGAUACAUGCAUUUCUUUCAGACACAGAACAUAGAACAAGAUAGACCUGAUCUCUAAAUAGCACCAGGAAAUAAUACAGUAAAAAAUUACAUCCAUUACACUCAUCUCCUUUCCCCUAACUAAGAAACUCAGACAGAUGAUGCUCUUUUGUGAGCAGCUAGCAGAAUGAUUUUAAAAAACAGGGCCGAUUGGCUUUGGGGGUCUUUAGCUACUCCAGCAGUUUUGAAGAAAGUGAUUAACCAGGGCACAGCGUGCUCGGUGAGUGUGGCACCGGUGUUUUCUCAUGCAGCAGUAAAGAAAGCAGCUUCCCGGGUGGCAUUGCCACUGUCAGCUCCAACCGAGAGAAAGGAACUGCUGGGGAGUGUGGAGGUGGUGGGCAGUGCCAAGGAGGGAGAUACAGGGUUUGUAAGCCUCAGGAAGGAAAACAUACACCUGAAGGCGAAGGACUUGAAGACAGCAGGCUUUCAUGAACAGAGGAUACUAGCAGGUGUACGCGGUCAGGAUCCACCAGUGUUUAGUUUCUCUUGUAGAGGUGAUGUGAAACUUAGAAACUAAUUAAUGCCAGUCACCAGUGCUCCUCCUUGGUAUUCAGUGUAGACUUCAGGAAGUACCCACCAGCUCUUGGUAAUUCUGUCCCUGGUAAGUUAUCACAACCAUUUGACACAAGCUUUCCAACAUCUCCCACUCCCUUUACUAUCGUAGGAUGUGAUUUAUCAUUGCAGUCCAGGUGAUCCGACAACUUUUAAGAGUACUAAUUGCCUUAUUAUCCACUCCGGUGCAAGAGUAAAACCUUUUGACAUUUUACUUCCUUCCCUGAGGAAAACAAAUCCUGCUUCCUGGGACAUUACCUUCUGCUGCCUCUGUGAUUACUGGGGCGAAGAAUUUCUCUAGGCCAUUUGCCUUAUCAGCCUCAUCUGUCACCAACUUGCCAGUCCCUGCUCUCAGUGCUCCCUCAGUGCUUUGCAUCCUCCAUUAUUUCAUGUAUUUCUGUAUUUUUUUCCUUUUCUUUUUUAUUUGUCAUGUCAAUGUUCAUCACAUAUUCCAUUCCUUUUUUUCUAUCAAUGUGCUUUUUCACAUCAGGCUCUGU
RNAcentral lists this long non-coding RNA (1456 nucleotides) under Anas platyrhynchos platyrhynchos (common mallard). RNAcentral's name for it is "lncRNA (ENSAPLG00000021337.1)". The record is from RNAcentral. Lineage: Eukaryota; Metazoa; Chordata; Aves; Anseriformes; Anatidae.